Molecule: ribosomal RNA, 552 nt
Filed under: Curtobacterium luteum
Lineage: Bacteria; Bacillati; Actinomycetota; Actinomycetes; Micrococcales; Microbacteriaceae
Description: bacterial SSU rRNA
Rfam family: Bacterial small subunit ribosomal RNA
Source: RNAcentral
GGCGCUAGAUGUAGGGACCUUUCCACGGUUUCUGUGUCGUAGCUAACGCAUUAAGCGCCCCGCCUGGGGAGUACGGCCGCAAGGCUAAAACUCAAAGGAAUUGACGGGGGCCCGCACAAGCGGCGGAGCAUGCGGAUUAAUUCGAUGCAACGCGAAGAACCUUACCAAGGCUUGACAUACACCGGAAACGGCCAGAGAUGGUUGCCCCCUUGUGGUCGGUGUACAGGUGGUGCAUGGUUGUCGUCAGCUCGUGUCGUGAGAUGUUGGGUUAAGUCCCGCAACGAGCGCAACCCUCGUUCUAUGUUGCCAGCGCGUUAUGGCGGGGACUCAUAGGAGACUGCCGGGGUCAACUCGGAGGAAGGUGGGGAUGACGUCAAAUCAUCAUGCCCCUUAUGUCUUGGGCUUCACGCAUGCUACAAUGGCCGGUACAAAGGGCUGCGAUACCGUAAGGUGGAGCGAAUCCCAAAAAGCCGGUCUCAGUUCGGAUUGAGGUCCGCAACUCCACCUCAUGAAGUAGGAGUCGCUAGUAAUCGCAGAUCAGCAACGCUGCGG